Molecule: transfer RNA, 65 nt
Filed under: Boodlea composita
Lineage: Eukaryota; Viridiplantae; Chlorophyta; Ulvophyceae; Cladophorales; Boodleaceae
Description: tRNA-Tyr
Source: RNAcentral
GCAUACUUGGCCUUAUCGAAGGCAUCUUCAUAAAAGAAGGUGGUGCUUGCAAACACCGGGAUGUU